CAGGGAAUAGUUUAAGAAGAAUUUCAGCUUUGGGUGCUGAUGGUGGAGCNNGNGCUUCUUCCUUGA
This 66-nucleotide transfer RNA is filed under the name Canis lupus (wolf). RNAcentral describes it as "tRNA-Pro". Lineage: Eukaryota; Metazoa; Chordata; Mammalia; Carnivora; Canidae. The record is from RNAcentral.